RNAcentral lists this ribosomal RNA (444 nucleotides) under uncultured Gammaproteobacteria bacterium. RNAcentral's name for it is "bacterial SSU rRNA". It matches the Rfam family "Bacterial small subunit ribosomal RNA", at positions 1088 to 1533 of the family's 1533-position model. The record is from RNAcentral. Lineage: Bacteria; Pseudomonadati; Pseudomonadota; Gammaproteobacteria.
CGCACGAGCGCACCCUUGCCCUAUGUUGCCAGCGGGUUAUGCCGGGGACUCAUGGGGAACUGCCGGUGAUAAACCGGAGGAAGGUGGGGACGACGUCAAGUCAUCAUGGCCCUUACGCCCAGGGCUACACACGUGCUACAAUGGCCGGUACAAAGGGCUGCAAUCCCGCGAGGGGGAGCGAAUCCCAAAAAGCCGGUCUAAGUUCGGAUUGUAGUCUGCAACUCGACUGCAUGAAGUCGGAAUCGCUAGUAAUCGUGUAUCAGCAACGACACGGUGAAUACGUUCCCGGGCCUUGUACACACCGCCCGUCAAGCCAUGGAAGCCGGGAGUGCCCGAAGUCCGUGAUCCAACUUCGUGAGGAAGCGGCCGAAGGUAAGUUCGGUGACUGGGGCUAAGUCGUAACAAGGUAGCCGUAGGGGAACCUGCGGCUGGAUCACCUCCUUU